CACCAGUACGAUAUCAGCCAACAGCCCUACAGGUAACACACACACACACACACACACACACACACACACACACCAGUACGAUAUCAGCCAACAGCCCUACAGGUAACACACACACACACACACCAGUACUAUAUCAGCCAACAGCCCUACAGGUAACACACACACACACCAGUACUAUAUCAGCCAACAGCCCUACAGGUAACACACACACCAGUACUAUAUCAGCCAACAGCCCUACAGGUAACACACACACACACACACACCAGUACUAUAUCAGCCAACAGCCCUACA
This is a long non-coding RNA of Oncorhynchus tshawytscha (Chinook salmon), 291 nucleotides long. Lineage: Eukaryota; Metazoa; Chordata; Actinopteri; Salmoniformes; Salmonidae. The record is from Ensembl.